This 844-nucleotide ribosomal RNA is filed under the name Staphylococcus aureus. RNAcentral describes it as "partial 23S ribosomal RNA". It matches the Rfam family "Bacterial large subunit ribosomal RNA", at positions 1 to 841 of the family's 2925-position model. Lineage: Bacteria; Bacillati; Bacillota; Bacilli; Caryophanales; Staphylococcaceae. The record is from RNAcentral.
AGAUUAAGUUAUUAAGGGCGCACGGUGGAUGCCUUGGCACUAGAAGCCGAUGAAGGACGUUACUAACGACGAUAUGCUUUGGGGAGCUGUAAGUAAGCUUUGAUCCAGAGAUUUCCGAAUGGGGAAACCCAGCAUGAGUUAUGUCAUGUUAUCGAUAUGUGAAUACAUAGCAUAUCAGAAGGCACACCCGGAGAACUGAAACAUCUUAGUACCCGGAGGAAGAGAAAGAAAAUUCGAUUCCCUUAGUAGCGGCGAGCGAAACGGGAAGAGCCCAAACCAACAAGCUUGCUUGUUGGGGUUGUAGGACACUCUAUACGGAGUUACAAAGGACGACAUUAGACGAAUCAUCUGGAAAGAUGAAUCAAAGAAGGUAAUAAUCCUGUAGUCGAAAAUGUUGUCUCUCUUGAGUGGAUCCUGAGUACGACGGACCACGUGAAAUUCCGUCGGAAUCUGGGAGGACCAUCUCCUAAGGCUAAAUACUCUCUAGUGACCGAUAGUGAACCAGUACCGUGAGGGAAAGGUGAAAAGCACCCCGGAAGGGGAGUGAAAUAGAACCUGAAACCGUGUGCUUACAAGUAGUCAGAGCCCGUUAAUGGGUGAUGGCGUGCCUUUUGUAGAAUGAACCGGCGAGUUACGAUUUGAUGCAAGGUUAAGCAGUAAAUGUGGAGCCGUAGCGAAAGCGAGUCUGAAUAGGGCGUUUAGUAUUUGGUCGUAGACCCGAAACCAGGUGAUCUACCCUUGGUCAGGUUGAAGUUCAGGUAACACUGAAUGGAGGACCGAACCGACUUACGUUGAAAAGUGAGCGGAUGAACUGAGGGUAGCGGAGAAAUUCCAAUCGAACCUG